RNAcentral lists this small RNA (52 nucleotides) under Arabidopsis thaliana (thale cress). RNAcentral's name for it is "ATSL210270". Lineage: Eukaryota; Viridiplantae; Streptophyta; Magnoliopsida; Brassicales; Brassicaceae. The record is from RNAcentral.
AAAAAAGAAAUAUGUUGGAAAGUUUAAGACGUCCAUAAAAAACGUUAAAAAA